RNAcentral lists this transfer RNA (73 nucleotides) under Stegodyphus mimosarum. It matches the Rfam family "tRNA". Rfam says of the family: Transfer RNA (tRNA) molecules are approximately 80 nucleotides in length. Their secondary structure includes four short double-helical elements and three loops (D, anti-codon, and T loops). The record is from Rfam by way of RNAcentral. Lineage: Eukaryota; Metazoa; Arthropoda; Arachnida; Araneae; Eresidae.
GCUUUCGUGGUGUAGUGGUCAGCACGCUCGACGCGUAACCGAGAGGUCCAUGGUUCGAUUCCUGGCAGAGGCG